AGUGAACGCUGGCGGUAGGCCUAACACAUGCAAGUCGAACGGCGGCACAGUAAGAGCUUGCUCUUACGGGUGGCGAGUGGCGGACGGGUGAGGAAUACAUCGGAAUCUACUUUUUCGUGGGGGAUAACGUAGGGGAACUUACGCUAAUACCGCAUACGACCUACGGGUGAAAGCAGGGGAUCUUCGGACCUUGCGCGAUUGAAUGAGCCGAUGUCGGAUUAGCUAGUUGGCGGGGUAAAGGCCCACCAAGGCGACGAUCCGUAGCUGGUCUGAGAGGAUGAUCAGCCACACCGGAACUGAGACACGGUCCAGACUCCUACGGGAGGCAGCAGUGGGGAAUAUUGGACAAUGGGCGCAAGCCUGAUCCAGCCAUACCGCGUGGGUGAAGAAGGCCUUCGGGUUGUAAAGCCCUUUUGUUGGGAAAGAAAAGCAGCAGGUUAAUACCCCGCUGUUCUGACGGUACCCAAAGAAUAAGCACCGGCUAACUUCGUG
This 492-nucleotide ribosomal RNA is filed under the name uncultured bacterium. RNAcentral's name for it is "partial 16S ribosomal RNA". It matches the Rfam family "Bacterial small subunit ribosomal RNA", at positions 29 to 507 of the family's 1533-position model. The record is from RNAcentral.